RNAcentral lists this ribosomal RNA (504 nucleotides) under uncultured bacterium. RNAcentral describes it as "partial 16S ribosomal RNA". It matches the Rfam family "Bacterial small subunit ribosomal RNA", at positions 30 to 523 of the family's 1533-position model. The record is from RNAcentral.
AUUGAACGCUGGCGGCACGCCUAACACAUGCAAGUCGAGCGGCAGCAUGCUUAGUAGCAAUACUAAGUGAUGGCGAGCGGCGGACGGGUGAGGAACACGUAGGAACCUGCCCAAGAGAGGGGGAUAACUAAGGGAAACUUUAGCUAAUACCGCAUAAUCUCGAGAGGGAAAAGUUGCCCGUAAGGGUAGCGCUUUUGGAGGGGCCUGCGUCCGAUUAGUUAGUUGGUGAGGUAAUGGCUCACCAAGACGAUGAUCGGUAACUGGUCUGAGAGGACGACCAGUCACACUGGGACUGAGACACGGCCCAGACUCCUACGGGAGGCAGCAGUGGGGAAUCUUGGACAAUGGGGGCAACCCUGAUCCAGCGAUGCCGCGUGGGUGAGGAAGGCCUUCGGGUUGUAAAGCCCUUUAGGCUGGGAAGAAGUGUUUGGGGUGAAUAAUCCCGAACAUUGACGGUACCAGCAGAAUAAGCACCGGCAAACUCUGUGCCAGCAGCCGCAGUAA